UUGUUGUUGUUCGUUUGUUUUUGUAACGUUUUUGGUUUUUGGUUUUUUUUGGUUUUUUUUUUUUGUUUUGUUUUUUUUUUUUGACACAUGGUCUUACCAUAGCUCAGGUUGGUCUUGAACUUAAAAUCAUCCUACUUUGACCUACCCAUUGCUGGGAUUAUAGGUAUAUACUACAUGUUUGACAUCAGUGCCAACAUUUUGAGGCAGAUGGCACUGCUCAUUCAUUGGACCUCAGGUUCCAAGAGGGUUCCUGUGCAUGGCGUGGGCACUGACCCUGCAGCCUGCCAAGGCCCAGCUCAAUUCUGUGUCUUGUGGUGACUUCAUCUUCAUUCUGUGUGGUGGCUUCAUCUUCUUUGCUCACUCUCCUCAGUCCUUCAGUCUUGUUCUUUGGGAAUCAUUCUUCAAAAAAUAAACAGCUAGUUCUUGACUCUGUUUAUGUUUGUUAGUAAUUUGAAGUGGAAGAACAGAACCUAAGUGAGAUUCCGACCACAACACACCACCACUCAAGCAUUUCAGAAGUAAAGAAACCCUGCGAGUACUCUCACUGGAUUAAUAAGCACGGAUCCAGGCACAGAAGUGCACAGCUUUAAUCCCAGCACUUGGGAGGCAGAGACAGGCAGAGCUAGCUCUGUGAGUCAAGACCAGCCAGGUCUACAUAGCAAGUUCCAGGACAGCCAGGGCUACAUCCGAAGACCCUGUCUCAAACGAACAAAAGUAAAAAGCUAGUGUCCUGGCAUACUAGGAGAUGCGGCUUAAAUGACAGGAAAAGAAAUGUAAGUUACUGGUGGGAAGUCAGCCUAACAGUAGGACUCAUGGGGGAAACUAACAAAAACAAAGAAAAAAGCAGAAGUCUCCUUCAGUUCCUUGCCAGAGUCUGAUGAGACAACCCGGUUUGUGCAAAGUGUUGGGCUACUCAGCCUUACAGUCUCUCCAGGCCUGUGGAUCCCAGGCUAGGGGAGCCCAGCUCUAGCUUGGGCUAGCUUGUACACUGUGCCCAGGACCUUAGAUGUGAAUACUGAGCAGAGAGAGAAAAAAGGCAAUCCCGCUUUUGGUUACCCUGCCAGUUCUGAGGGCCAAAUCUCACCAGUUUGUCCUCUCUCUGUCCCUUCCUCCCUCUGUUCCUAGACUAGAAUGGGCCUUUCUGCAAAUAGCCUUUCAGUCCAAGAAGGCUUUGGCACCGUGCCGCAAUAAAGGACUCCGGGUGCCCCGAGAGUGCAAAAGGACAAACACCGAGCCCAGGCGUGGUGACUCCUCUAUGCUCCCUCAGUGGGCCGACUUCCCUCUGGUGUCUCUAUAAAGGCCACAGGGAAUCUUUCGAAAGGACACUAGAACGACUCAGGGGCCCGUGAUCCAGCCCUUCUAAUCCAGGGCGCGCCUCUGACUCAGCAUGACCUCGCACAUCCUUUUCUGGCUCCAGGUCCACAGUCGCCUCUUUGCAAGGUGAGGAUCCUGCUUUUCCAAGGACGCUUCUCGGGCCGCCGCCGUCCCGUGAUGGACUACGGCCAUGCUAAGGUUCAUAAGUGAGUUCCCACGCUGGUGUGUGUGAAGAGGUGGCGCUCCUGUCCCCCACACAGGUCUCUUGGGAGCGCAGACUUGAUUAACUGACCGGUCCGCCUGCUCAUAAUCCAGGCUGGGAUUGUGGAGCAACGAACUCCUGCUCCGGGCUAGGCCUGGCUUUCGGGACGCUCCUCCCUGUCGCUCUCCCUCCCACGUGGGGCCGAGAAAGCCGGAGCUCCUAGCUGCACGCGCGUUGUCCGGCCGAUUCCGGGCGGGAGGCCUGCGUGGAAGGCCGCUGGGUGCAAGGAACGGAGCAGGAGGCUGAGCCGGCCCGAGAGCUCCGCCCAGAUCGGUGGAGUGCAGUGGCCUUUCGCUGCCUAGCCGCACGGGGGUGUGGUCCAGAGGACUCGGCUUCCCGGCGCUCCGCGCCAACCCCUGGGAGUUUUGCAGCACCCACGGCGUGUUUGCACGCAGCCACCUAGGAAGAUCCCCUCAGCGCGCCGCAAUCGCUGAAUCCUUUCUCUCCACCCACCUCCCUCACGCAAGCUGAGGAGGAGAGGUGGAAACAUGCGGGACUACGACGAGGUGAUCGCCUUCCUGGGCGAGUGGGGGCCCUUCCAGCGCCUCAUCUUCUUUCUGCUCAGCGCCAGCAUCAUCCCCAAUGGCUUCAAUGGUAUGUCAGUCGUGUUCCUGGCGGGGACCCCCGAGCACCGUUGCCUGGUUCCUGACACUGUGAACCUGAGCAGCUCCUGGCGCAACCACAGCAUCCCCUUGGAGACGAAGGACGGACGACAGGUGCCUCAGAGCUGCCGCCGCUACCGACUGGCCACCAUCGCCAACUUCUCUGCGAUGGGGCUGGAGCCAGGACAGGACGUGGAUCUGGAGCAGCUGGAGCAGGAGAGCUGCCUGGAUGGCUGGGAGUACGACAAGGACAUCUUCCUGUCCACCAUCGUGACAGAGUGGAAUCUGGUGUGUGAGGAUGACUGGAAGACACCCCUCACCACCUCCCUGUUCUUCGUAGGCGUUCUCUGCGGCUCCUUCGUGUCUGGGCAGCUGUCAGACAGGUUUGGCAGGAAGAAAGUCCUCUUUGCAACCAUGGCUGUGCAGACUGGAUUCAGCUUCGUGCAGAUUUUCUCAACCAACUGGGAGAUGUUCACUGUGUUGUUUGCCAUUGUGGGCAUGGGCCAGAUCUCCAACUACGUGGUGGCCUUCAUACUAGGAACUGAAAUCCUGAGCAAGUCGGUUCGCAUCAUCUUCUCCACAUUAGGAGUCUGUACAUUUUUUGCAAUCGGCUACAUGGUCCUGCCGCUGUUUGCAUACUUCAUCAGAGACUGGAGGAUGCUGCUGCUGGCCCUGACACUGCCUGGCCUGUUCUGUGUUCCCCUGUGGUGGUUUAUUCCAGAAUCUCCCCGGUGGCUGAUAUCCCAGAGGAGAUUUGCAGAGGCCGAACAGAUCAUCCAGAAAGCCGCAAAGAUGAACAGCAUCGUGGCGCCAGCAGGGAUAUUCGAUCCUCUAGAGGUGGCUAUCCGGUGUGCUGCACCACCUGCUGAAUGGGCUAUCUUUGCUUUUUGCAAGUUUCCAACUUUGCAUUGGCAUGUGUGUCCAACCAUUACAAGCUACAGGAGCUAAACUCCUUGAAGCAGCAGAAAGUCAUAAUCCUGGACCUGUUCAGGACUCGGAACAUUGCCACCAUAACCGUGAUGGCUGUGAUGCUGUGGAUGCUAACCUCAGUGGGUUACUUUGCUCUGUCUCUCAAUGUUCCUAAUUUACAUGGAGAUGUCUACCUGAACUGCUUCCUCUCUGGCCUGAUUGAAGUUCCAGCUUACUUCACAGCCUGGCUGCUACUGCGAACCCUGCCACGGAGAUAUAUUAUAGCUGGGGUGCUAUUCUGGGGAGGAGGUGUGCUUCUCUUGAUCCAAGUGGUACCUGAAGAUUAUAACUUUGUGUCCAUUGGACUGGUGAUGCUGGGGAAAUUUGGGAUCACCUCUGCCUUCUCCAUGUUGUAUGUCUUCACUGCGGAGCUCUACCCAACCCUGGUCAGGAACAUGGCUGUGGGCAUCACCUCCAUGGCCUCUCGGGUGGGCAGCAUCAUUGCCCCCUAUUUCGUUUACCUGGGUGAGAUGUGUCUUAUUCUGUCCUUAGGGGUUUUUUUAUGUGUAUUUUGCAUGUGGGCUUAUGUGCUUUGUGUGUAUGAACAAGGGCCUUCUUUGGCCAGUCUCUUCAUGGGAGGAGUUGGUUUGGGUCUUAUGCAGCUGAAUCACUCUCCAUAGUCUGGCUGCUCAGUUUUACAGCCCCAUUGCAGGCACAUUGCAUCUUAAAGCCCUCACCGGUUUCUUUUCAUGAUGAUUCUCAGUGACCCCUUGGACUGUAAUAGUAAAGUAAUAGUAAGGGUCUUUCUGCUGUGUGUCUGUUGGAUUCCCUUCCCCCCACCCCUCUCUCUCUCUUUAGAUUUAACAAAAUUUGUAUUUUAUGUGAACGACAGUUUUAUCUGAAGGUAAGUGCAGCACUUUUGUACCUGGUGUUCAGGGAGUGUCUGAUCUCCAGGAAUUGGAGUGUAGGAAAGAACGAGCCACCAUAUGGGCACUAUAAAUGGAACUUGGACCCUUUGUAAGAGCAGCAAGAGGUCAUAACCGCUGAGCCAUCUCUCCAGGCCUGAACUCUUGUACAGAUAACCUCCUCAGUGCGAGCAGGAAGCAGGCAAAGGGAGGGAAAGAGCAGAGGCUCUAACUAGCAGACAUGAGUUAGGAUUCUUUAUUUGGGGGGGAAACCAGGCUUUGGGAGGGCUGUGAGGGCAGGGGCAAACAGACACAUGAUGUAAGGAUGAAUGGGACUCAAGGGGUGCUACUGAGUCCUCCCCAGUGAUUCGGUGGCUUAUGUGAGUUCUCUGUAGUGUAAGGAGUUAGCCUUCUGUAUACACUUUAUAAGUAUUUUUCUAGGUAAUCACUUACACUUUAUGAUUUUAUUUUUUGCAAGGCAAAAAUUUUUAGUUUCUGUAUAUUCAAAUAUACCAGGCUGGAAUAAUAUGCAAAGGAGCUUUUAGUGGGAUGUUGCUCAGCGUUCUAAGAUUAGCCUUUAUUAGGACUUGACUGGCAUAAACACACCUCCUUAUUUUUCUUGCUCACAUGUUGGUUACAUACCUGUUCAAACACAUGCACACAUGCAUGCAGAGAGAGAGAGACAGACAGACAGACAGACAGACAGACAGAUAGAGAGACAGAGAGAGAACAGAUAAAUUCUCAGAAAGGAUACACUAUAUAAAUUCACACAGUGAAAGAAACACAUUUUCCUAACUUUAACACACCCUGCACAGCUGCUCUGAGUACAGCAGCCCUGAGCAUACUGCAAAGCCAUUUUUCCUUCCACUUCUCAACUAUGCUUAGAUGAUCCAGUGUUGGGCCACUGGAUCACAAGAAGCAGAGCCUAAGAAAGAAUGUUUAGGGGGCUGGAGAGAUGGCUCAGCGGUUAAGAGCACUGACUGCUCUUCCAAAGGUUCUGAGUUCAAAUCCCAGCAAACACAUGGUGGCUCUCAGCCAUCUAUAAUGGGAUCUGAUGCCCUCUUCUGGUGUGUCUGAAGACAGUUACAGUGUACUUACAUGUAAUUAAUUAAUUAAUUUUAAAAAAGAAAGAGCAUUUAGUAUAAGAAGCUAUUCCUGUUAGCAACACAAGGCCUCUGAAAAGCCUAAAAGAGCAGUAUUUAUCUUAAGUGCCAAAAAAAACCCAAAAAACCCUACACACAUGGGUGUUUGUUUUUUUAUUCUCUCUGGGAGCAAGGAGCAGAUGAGGGUUUAUCCUCCUAUCUCAUAGCCCCAUACAGAGAAGCAGAGAGGGGCUAGGUGUGUGGCUCAGUCAGUACAGUCUUUGCCUACUAAGAAGCUGGGCUUGAUCCCCCAGCAGUGCUUCAACCACGGAUGGAGUCAUAGAGGCGAGGGUAAGAGAAUCAGAUGUUCUAAGUCAUCCUCAGCUACCUAGGUAAGCCUUCUCACCACCCUUCCCAAGUCACCUCCACCCUAAGGAAGCUUUGAUAGGGAAGACUUCUAUCUGAGGAACGUGUCAUGCACGGCUGGGCAGUGGCUGAGAACCUAACAGCAUGCUAAUGUACAACCAGGGCUAGCGAACUGUAGAAGUCUGGGGACCCAGUGGACAACCUAGGGUAUUUAGCUGACUUCCAUUCUUCUGAAAUGUUUGCAUUCAGUCUGCUGUCAUAGACUGUCUGCACCUUGGUAAAAUGUCUCCCAGGAGCAUGCUCAAAUCUAAUUGAUGUUCUUGUGUCUGGUGCUUUGCAGGCGCCUAUAACAGACUCCUACCCUACAUCCUCAUGGGCAGUCUGACUGUCCUCAUUGGAAUCAUCACGCUUUUUUUCCCUGAAAGUUUUGGAGUGACUCUACCAGAGAACUUGGAGCAGAUGCAGAAAGUGAGAGGGUUCAGAUGUGGGAAAAAAUCAACAGUCUCAGUGGACAGAGAAGAAAGCCCCAAGGUUCUAAUAACUGCAUUCUAACGAGGUUUCCAAGGCACUUGGCAAACUGAAAAGCAGAUGUAUACAAUGAGCAGGGUGUGAUAGAGCAAGCCUGCAAUCCCAGCGCUCUUGGGGUGGAGACAGAAGAUCAGGAGUUCAAGGUCAUCCUUGGCUACAGCAGGAGUGUAAGACCAGCCUGUCUUACCACAAGCAACCCUGUCUCAACAGAACAAAUCAAAAGCCUUUUCUGCUGAAAGGGAUUAACAGAAACAAUGAGCACCAAACUGGACUUGUGGAGAAAUGCACACUAUCUCAUGAAUUCUGGGCCACUCUUCCAGAUGGCCUUGUUUUCAAGAACAAACAUUUCUAAAUAGUCUUGACUACUAACUAUUCAAUGAAAUUGAUUUGUAAGAUUUUUUUUUUUUUUUUUGGAAAAUGUGUUAGUCAAGGACUGGCAAAAUCCAUAUGAAGAUUAACACACAUUUCUAAACGUAUAAAUGCUAUCCAAAUAAAAUUAUCACAACUAUUAGAUGGUAA
Mus musculus (house mouse) is the source of this 6487-nucleotide RNA transcript. It is a transcript of the gene named solute carrier family 22 (organic cation transporter), member 4, with no coding region annotated. NCBI's taxonomy places the organism in Eukaryota, Metazoa, Chordata, Mammalia, Rodentia, Muridae. The transcript is spliced from 10 exons. The record is from RefSeq and is marked validated.